Molecule: ribosomal RNA, 292 nt
Filed under: uncultured bacterium
Lineage: Bacteria
Description: partial 16S ribosomal RNA
Rfam family: Bacterial small subunit ribosomal RNA
Source: RNAcentral
GUGCCAGCAGCCGCGGUAAGACAGAGGUUGCAAGCGUUGUUCGGAAUUACUGGGCAUAAAGCGCACGUAGGCGGUCCGCUAAGUCAUGUGUGAAAUCCCCCGGCUCAACCGGGGAAUGGCGCCUGAUACUGGCGGACUCGAGAUCGGUAGGGGUGAGUGGAACUCCAGGUGGAGCGGUGAAAUGCGUAGAUAUCUGGAGGAACACCGGUGGCGAAAGCGACUCACUGGACCGACACUGACGCUGAGGUGCGAAAGCUAGGGUAGCAAACGGGAUUAGAUACCCUCGUAGUCC